Molecule: transfer RNA, 64 nt
Filed under: Rhopalosiphum padi (bird cherry-oat aphid)
Lineage: Eukaryota; Metazoa; Arthropoda; Insecta; Hemiptera; Aphididae
Description: tRNA-His
Source: RNAcentral
GUUAUUUAAAUAGUUUAUUUAAAAUAUUAAUUUGUGGAAUUAAAGAUUAUAUUUUUAUAUUUAA